This 70-nucleotide transfer RNA is filed under the name Sphaerodactylus townsendi. RNAcentral's name for it is "tRNA-Ala". Lineage: Eukaryota; Metazoa; Chordata; Lepidosauria; Squamata; Sphaerodactylidae. The record is from RNAcentral.
GGCGUUGGCUCAGUGGAAGAGUCUCUACUUGGCAUGCAGAAGAUUCCAGGUUUGGUCCCUGACAUCUCCA